RNAcentral lists this ribosomal RNA (254 nucleotides) under uncultured bacterium. RNAcentral describes it as "partial 16S ribosomal RNA". It matches the Rfam family "Bacterial small subunit ribosomal RNA", at positions 524 to 776 of the family's 1533-position model. The record is from RNAcentral.
UACGAAGGGGGCUAGCGUUGCUCGGAAUCACUGGGCGUAAAGGGUGCGUAGGCGGGUCUUUAAGUCAGGGGUGAAAUCCUGGAGCUCAACUCCAGAACUGCCUUUGAUACUGAAGAUCUUGAGUUCGGGAGAGGUGAGUGGAACUGCGAGUGUAGAGGUGAAAUUCGUAGAUAUUCGGCAAGAACACCAGUGGCGAAGGCGGCUCACUGGCCCGAUACUGACGCUGAGGCACGAAAGCGUGGGGAGCAAACAGG